This 2386-nucleotide long non-coding RNA is filed under the name Capsicum annuum. Its description in RNAcentral is "long non-coding RNA (CANN_LNC003876)". Lineage: Eukaryota; Viridiplantae; Streptophyta; Magnoliopsida; Solanales; Solanaceae. The record is from RNAcentral.
UUUUCCCUUAAAUACAUUUACCGGAUCAAUCAAAAACCACCUACAAAAUAUCCCAUGUAGCCAUAACAUUCGCUAUCUCUUCCCAAAAAGCCAUUUUAGACCCUUCCCUACCAGUCCAUACACUCCCCCAAAGCAUGAAUUCCCCUUUUUUAACAUCCAGAUGUUCCACUUUCCUAUCGUUCCACAUUAAUAAAAUGGCCCAGCACCUACCAACUUCUGGAACCCAAUCAUAUUUCACCCACGUUUCCUCCCACACACUUCUCAUUCAGCUGUGAAGUUAUUUUUCUCAAAAGAGUUCUGCUUUAUGAUGAACCAAUCUGUUAUGAUAAAGUCGUCUUGCUGUUCAUGAAAAGAUAGACUUGGACAUGAUAAAAAAGUUUUUCUUCCCCCCUUUGCUGCUACUUUUGUUAAGAACUAUAUGUAUAUGAAAUAGGCACUUAGUUCAUACCUUCAGCUUCAGUAAAUGUUCCUACGAUACCCUUACGGCUGCUUAAAUGAUUCUGUUUAUGGAAAAUAAAAGGUAUAUAUAGGAUUGGGUAACUAAUUCUUGUUGAUUUGUAGAACAGGGGCUUUUGAUCAUGAACUAUAACAACAACAACAACAACAACAAACCCAGUGUAUUCCCACUUUGUGGGGUCUGGGGGGGGUAAGAUGUACGCAGUCCAUACCUCUACCUCUGAUGAAGUAGAAAGGCUGUUUCCGAAAGACCCCCGGCUCAAGUUACGAGAUAUCAAACAAACACAUAGUACAGCACAGAAGCAGAUGACAUAACAUAGAUACUGCAGCCAUAAGGAAUAUAAAAAAGAGUAAAGAAGGAAUGCAGGAAUAUAAAGCAGAGGAAAGCACACAGAUUCGUAACAAACAUAGAACACGGAACACGGAACAGAACAUUGAAAUACGGAAUCAUACCAGGAAUACCCCCCCACCAAUUACCUCCCUACAUUAGCGACCCGAACAGGCCCUAAACAUAGACCCGAACAUGUUCAAAUGUUUCAAAAAGGAAAUCCAACAACAUAACCAGUGUAAACCCACUAGUGGGAUCUGGACAGGGUAGACUGUAGAGUGUAAGGAGACUUUAAUCGAGGUAGAGAGGUUGUUUCCAAUAGACCAUUGACUUAAUGAAAGAACAGUACAAAGCAUUAAAAGAAAAACGGAAUUGCAGAAGCUAUGUCUAACUACUAUAGAAAGCAUGUUUCAAAAAAUAAAUAAUAUCACGUAAAUAAAUAGAGGGAGUAGCUCAUUAAGCCACAUAAUCAUGCAUGUUUAAAAGUACAAGUUGACUAUAAUACAUAUUGAUUCCAUAACUUCUAUAGCUAUACAUCAGGCCUAUGGACCCAAGAAAUGAGCAAAAACUAAUCCUUUGCUAAGUUAUAACUUGUUCAGCCAAGCUUUUGGGAGGCAAAAAGUGCUUACUUUAAAAAGCGAGGUGUUUGGCCAAGUUUUUGGGAAAAAUAAGUAUUUCUGGAGGUACCAAAAACUGCUUUUCAGAAGCUAAGAAAAUAGCUUUUUCCUAAAAGUGCUUUUUUCCUAGAAAAAAUAUAAUUAAAGUACUUCUAACAAGUUUGGUCAAACACUAAUUGUUCAUCAAAAGUGCUUUAUGAAACACAAAUUGCUUUAUGAAACACAAACUGCUUCUAACCAAAAGCACUUUUCAAAAUAAGCAGAUUUCAGAAGCUUGGCCAGAUAAGCUACUAUUAGUUUCCAUUAGCUUGAUCAGUCAUUUGAUCUCUUGAAAACUAAAGCCAUCAGGAAUUUCAAAAUAGGGACUGAGCUGGACCUCAGCUUGUAGAAGAUCAACCACAAGACGAAGGAAUGAAUCUAACCGAACUUUCAAAAGAGGACAAAAAUUGCAUGUAUAAUAAGCACAAACACAAACACAAAACAAUUCAGUUUGCAUAAAAUCACUAGAAAUGGAAUCAUAACAUGGAAGAUUCAUGACUUACGGGUUCAUCAGAGAGGACAUUAGAAUCAAAAUGGAAUUGAGCAACAAUGAGAGCGUUACGAAUACCGCUAUUUCCUUCUCCACCGCCUCCGGCAAGGACAACAUAACUUUCCGAUGACGAUGAUUUCUCGACGCCGUCGUCCUUAUCAUCAUCAGUGGCCGGCGGCGGUUCGACUGCAGAUCUGAGGGCGCUCGGUGGGACCCAACCGGCACCGUAAAUAGGGACGCCAUAGUUCUUCGAAUUUCCGGAAUCAGCCAUCUUGGGUCACUGUGAUCCAGAAAUUGAUCAUGAACUAUAAUUUAUUGAAAAUCAGAAAGGAAAUGCCUGCAUGAAAUCUGUUGGACUUAUCCUUUUUCUUUUGUUCAUACUUGAAUAUUUUUAGGAGCUGAAACUUACCUUGAUUCUGCAGUUGGUUUCUGCUAUGUGCUUUUCGUACUUCUUAC